GACGAACUCUGGCGGCGUGCUUAACACAUGCAAGUCGAACGAUGAAGCGGUGCUUGCACCGUGGAUUAGUGGCGAACGGGUGAGUAAUACGUGAGUGACCUACCUUUGACUCUGGGAUAAGCCUGGGAAACUGGGUCUAAUACCGGAUACGACCAAUCUCUGCAUGGGGUGUUGGUGGAAAGCGUUAUGGAGUGGUUUUAGAUGGGCUCACGGCCUAUCAGCUUGUUGGUGAGGUAAUGGCUUACCAAGGCGACGACGGGUAGCCGGCCUGAGAGGGUGACCGGCCACACUGGGACUGAGACACGGCCCAGACUCCUACGGGAGGCAGCAGUGGGGAAUAUUGCACAAUGGGCGCAAGCCUGAUGCAGCGACGCCGCGUGAGGGAUGACGGCCUUCGGGUUGUAAACCUCUGUUAGCAUCGAAGAAGCGAAAGUGACGGUAGGUGCAGAGAAAGCGCCGGCUAACUACGUGCCAGCAGCCGCGGUAAUACGUAGGGCGCGAGCGUUGUCCGGAAUUAUUGGGCGUAAAGAGCUUGUAGGCGGUUGGUCGCGUCUGCUGUGAAGGCCGGGGCUUAACUCCGGUUUUGCAGUGGGUACGGGCUAACUAGAGUGCAGUAGGGGAGACUGGAAUUCCUGGUGUAGCGGUGGAAUGCACAGAUAUCAGGAGGAACACCGAUGGCGAAGGCAGGUCUCUGGGCUGUAACUGACGCUGAGAAGCGAAAGCAUGGGGAGCGAACAGGAUUAGAUACCCUGGUAGUCCAUGCCGUAAACGUUGGGCACUAGGUGUGGGGGACAUUCCACGUUUUCCGCGCCGUAGCUAACGCAUUAAGUGCCCCGCCUGGGGAGUACGGCCGCAAGGCUAAAACUCAAAGGAAUUGACGGGGGCCCGCACAAGCGGCGGAGCAUGCGGAUUAAUUCGAUGCAACGCGAAGAACCUUACCAAGGCUUGACAUGCAUUAGAUCGCGUCAGAGAUGGCGUUUCCCUUCGGGGCUGGUGUACAGGUGGUGCAUGGUUGUCGUCAGCUCGUGUCGUGAGAUGUUGGGUUAAGUCCCGCAACGAGCGCAACCCUCGUUCUAUGUUGCCAGCGGUUCGGCCGGGGACUCAUAGGAGACUGCCGGGGUCAACUCGGAGGAAGGUGGGGAUGACGUCAAAUCAUCAUGCCCCUUAUGUCUUGGGCUUCACGCAUGCUACAAUGGCCGGUACAGAGGGUUGCGAUACUGUGAGGUGGAGCUAAUCCCUUAAAGCCGGUCUCAGUUCGGAUUGGGGUCUGCAACUCGACCCCAUGAAGUCGGAGUCGCUAGUAAUCGCAGAUCAGCAACGCUGCGGUGAAUACGUUCCCGGGCCU
This 1345-nucleotide ribosomal RNA is filed under the name uncultured bacterium. RNAcentral's name for it is "bacterial SSU rRNA". It matches the Rfam family "Bacterial small subunit ribosomal RNA", at positions 28 to 1381 of the family's 1533-position model. The record is from RNAcentral.